This 958-nucleotide ribosomal RNA is filed under the name Aeribacillus pallidus. RNAcentral's name for it is "bacterial SSU rRNA". It matches the Rfam family "Bacterial small subunit ribosomal RNA", at positions 57 to 992 of the family's 1533-position model. Lineage: Bacteria; Bacillati; Bacillota; Bacilli; Caryophanales; Bacillaceae. The record is from RNAcentral.
GCAAGUCGAGCGGACCGAAGGGAGCUUGCUCCUUUAGGUUAGCGGCGGACGGGUGAGUAACACGUGGGCAACCUGCCCUGCAGACUGGGAUAACUUCGGGAAACCGGAGCUAAUACCGGAUAACACCGAAAACCGCAUGGUUUUCGGUUGAAAGGCGGCUUUUAGCUGUCACUGCAGGAUGGGCCCGCGGCGCAUUAGCUAGUUGGUGAGGUAACGGCUCACCAAGGCGACGAUGCGUAGCCGACCUGAGAGGGUGACCGGCCACACUGGGACUGAGACACGGCCCAGACUCCUACGGGAGGCAGCAGUAGGGAAUCUUCCGCAAUGGACGAAAGUCUGACGGAGCAACGCCGCGUGAGCGAAGAAGGUCUUCGGAUCGUAAAGCUCUGUUGUCAGGGAAGAACAAGUACCGUUCGAACAGGGCGGUACCUUGACGGUACCUGACGAGGAAGCCACGGCUAACUACGUGCCAGCAGCCGCGGUAAUACGUAGGUGGCAAGCGUUGUCCGGAAUUAUUGGGCGUAAAGCGCGCGCAGGCGGUUCCUUAAGUCUGAUGUGAAAUCUCGCGGCUCAACCGCGAGCGGCCAUUGGAAACUGGGGAACUUGAGUGCAGGAGAGGGGAGCGGAAUUCCACGUGUAGCGGUGAAAUGCGUAGAGAUGUGGAGGAACACCAGUGGCGAAGGCGGCUCUCUGGCCUGUAACUGACGCUGAGGCGCGAAAGCGUGGGGAGCGAACAGGAUUAGAUACCCUGGUAGUCCACGCCGUAAACGAUGAGUGCUAAGUGUUAGAGGGUAUCCACCCUUUAGUGCUGCAGCAAACGCAUUAAGCACUCCGCCUGGGGAGUACGGCCGCAAGGCUGAAACUCAAGGAAUUUGACGGGGACCCGCACAAGGCGGUGGAGCAUGUGGUUUAAUUUCGAAGCAACGCGAAGACCCUUACCAGGGUCUUGACAUCCCCU